RNAcentral lists this ribosomal RNA (464 nucleotides) under uncultured bacterium. RNAcentral's name for it is "partial 16S ribosomal RNA". It matches the Rfam family "Bacterial small subunit ribosomal RNA", at positions 338 to 795 of the family's 1533-position model. The record is from RNAcentral.
CCUACGGGAGGCAGCAGUAGGGAAUUUUCGUCAAUGGGCGCAAGCCUGAACGAGCAAUGCCGCGUGAACGAGGAAGGUCUUCGGAUCGUAAAGUUCUGUUGAAGGGGAAAAAGAGCGGAGAGAGGAAAUGGUCUCCGAUUGAUAUUACCCUUCGAGGAAGUCACGGCUAACUACGUGCCAGCAGCCGCGGUAAUACGUAGGGGGCGAGCGUUAUCCGGAAUGAUUGGGCGUAAAGGGUGCGUAGGCGGCCUGCUAAGUCGGGAGUGAAAGGUACCGGCUCACCCGGUACAGGCUCUGGAAACUGGCGGGCUAGAGAGCAGGAGAGGGCGGUGGAACUCCAUGUGUAGCGGUAAAAUGCGUAGAUAUAUGGAAGAACACCAGUGGCGAAGGCGGCCGCCUGGCCUGUUACUGACGCUGAGGCACGAAAGCGUGGGGAGCAAAUAGGAUUAGAUACCCGAGUAGUC